Molecule: ribosomal RNA, 253 nt
Filed under: uncultured bacterium
Lineage: Bacteria
Description: partial 16S ribosomal RNA
Rfam family: Bacterial small subunit ribosomal RNA
Source: RNAcentral
UACGGAGGAUCCAAGCGUUAUCCGGAUUUAUUGGGUUUAAAGGGUGCGUAGGCGGGCUCGUAAGUCAGUGGUGAAAUCCUGCAGCUUAACUGUAGAACUGCCAUUGAUACUGCGAGUCUUGAAUGCAGCUGAGGUGGGCGGAAUGUGUCAUGUAGCGGUGAAAUGCAUAGAUAUGACACAGAACACCAAUUGCGAAGGCAGCUCACUAAACUGUGAUUGACGCUGAGGCACGAAAGCGUGGGGAGCAAACAGG